AUGAAUGCUAUUUUUUGGAAUGUUAGGGGCAUUGCUACCCAAGGGAGAAAAACUCUCAUUGUAGAUACUAUUAGGAAAAGGUAGGCCUCUAUUCUGGGUUUUCAGGAAACCAAAAAAGAUGCAUUCUCUGAUUCCUACCUUAAAUCCUUAGAUGGUAGCAGAAAUUUCUUUUGGCACCACCUCCCAUCAAAAGGCUCUGCUGGGGGCAUUCUAAUGGGGGUGGAUGCAGAUAUUUUUGAGGUUAUUUUCUGGUCUCACCUUGAUUUCUCUGUUAGUUGUGUCCUUAAACUGAAAAGUAAUGGUACCACUUUUAGGGUCAUCACUGUGUAUGGCCCCCCCUAUGAAGAAGGAAAAGAGGCCUUCAUUUCAGAGCUUCAUUCUCUGUUCAUGGAGUGCCCCUACCCCACUCUGAUUGGUGGAGACUUUAACCCGAUUAGAUAUGCUAGAGAGAAAAGUAAUGGAGUGUUCAACCACAGAUGGUGUGACAACUUUAAUGCUUGGAUAGAAAUCUGGAGUUUGUUAGAGAUUAAACUGUCUAGCAGAAAAUACACCUGGGUCAACAACCAGGUGGACCUGAUAAUGUCCACAAUAGAUAGACUUUUCUGUAACACUGAGCUUGACAAGCUCUUUCCUCUAGCCUCCUGUAAUGCUUUACCCAGAUGUGGCAGUGACCAUGCCCUUAUUAUUUGGGAUUCUGGGAUUGAGCAGACACCUAGGAGUAGUAGUUAUAAGAUGGAACAAUGGUGGUUGAUUAGAGAGGACUUCUCCAAACUAGUUACUAAGAUUUGGAAUGAGCCCACCUCACGAACCACUCCCAUGGACAAUUGGCAAGAUAAAAUUAGGAAACUCAGGAGGGUGACUAAAGGUUGGAGCUCCAAUGAGGAGGCCCAACUUAGAGCAUCCCCAACAGGCAAAACGCGCGCCCGCGCGGUAAAAUCAGUUUUUCGCGCGCGCCGGUUGGUUCCGCGCGCUCCAGCGAUGGCGGGAAGUUACCGCGCACGGGAAGCGUUUGCGCGCGCGCGGUAG
RNAcentral lists this ribosomal RNA (1026 nucleotides) under Triticum aestivum (bread wheat). Its description in RNAcentral is "partial small subunit ribosomal RNA". Lineage: Eukaryota; Viridiplantae; Streptophyta; Magnoliopsida; Poales; Poaceae. The record is from RNAcentral.